Molecule: ribosomal RNA, 254 nt
Filed under: uncultured bacterium
Lineage: Bacteria
Description: partial 16S ribosomal RNA
Rfam family: Bacterial small subunit ribosomal RNA
Source: RNAcentral
UACGUAGGGUGCGAGCGUUGUCCGGAAUUAUUGGGCGUAAAGAGCUCGUAGGCGGUUCGUCGCGUCGGCUGUGAAAUCCCGAGGCUCAACCUCGGGUCUGCAGUCGAUACGGGCGGACUGGAGUACUGCAGGGGAGACUGGAAUUCCUGGUGUAGCGGUGAAAUGCGCAGAUAUCAGGAGGAACACCGGUGGCGAAGGCGGGUCUCUGGGCAGUUGACUGACGCUGAGGAGCGAAAGCGUGGGGAGCGAACAGG